This 445-nucleotide ribosomal RNA is filed under the name uncultured bacterium. RNAcentral describes it as "SSU rRNA". It matches the Rfam family "Bacterial small subunit ribosomal RNA", at positions 26 to 518 of the family's 1533-position model. The record is from RNAcentral.
AGAGCGAACGCUGGCGGCAGGCCUAAUACAUGCAAGUCGAACGGACCCUUCGGGGUUAGUGGCGGACGGGUGAGUAACACGUGGGAAUAUACCUUUUGGUUCGGAACAACGCAGGGAAACUUGCGCUAAUACCGAAUGUGCCCUUACGGGGAAAGAUUUAUCGCCAAAGGAUUAGCCCGCGUCCGAUUAGCUAGUUGGUGAGGUAAUGGCUCACCAAGGCUCCGAUCGGUAGCUGUUCUGAGAGGAAGAUCAGCCACACUGGGACUGAGACACGGCCCAGACUCCUACGGGAGGCAGCAGUUGGGAAUCUUGGACAAUGGGGGAAACCCUGAUCCAGCCAUGCAGCGUGAGUGAUGAAGGCCUUCGGGUUGUAAAACUCUUUCGACGGGGACGAUAAUGACGGUACCCGUAGAAGAAGCUCCGGCUAACUCGUGCCAGCAGCCGC